Molecule: long non-coding RNA, 771 nt
Filed under: Fukomys damarensis (Damara mole-rat)
Lineage: Eukaryota; Metazoa; Chordata; Mammalia; Rodentia; Bathyergidae
Description: lncRNA (ENSFDAG00000026358.1)
Source: RNAcentral
AUGGGAGUUCACUUUCUGUUUAAAUGCCUGAAAUAUUCCUUGAAGAAUCUGCAUUUUGGGAGAGCUAGGAAAAAAGCUAUGUUUGGGCUGAUGGAAUGGGAUUCCGCUUUUGUUCGUGCAGAAGUCUACAGACAGAAUGGAUUGGACCUAACAUGUUCAGCCGUUAGUCCACUCAUAUCCACUGCGGUGCACCAGGGAGCCCUUUCUGGCUGCUCUCUGUGGGCUGCUUUGUGGCUACUUUUCUUUGGUGAUGGGAGAAAUUUUCAAAUAUUGAUUAAAACUAGGCAAGUGCCUGGGCUCCAUAAAAACUCUCGUGCUCCAAACUGUGAGACUUGUUUGUUUUGGCUGGCCUUUAUGGCCAGACUGACAUUUUAUGCAGAAAGCUCAUAUUUCGAUUUUCCUUGGAAUUUUACACAUAUGAACAAUGAACUAAACAGAAUGUAAGGUUGUGUUCUUGUUGCUGUUGCCAUUUUCUGGCUUCUUCUGAAAUGUGAGAAAACCUAGUGUAGGCAUAUUCCCCAUGGUCACCCCAAACUUGGCUACCCUGGUUCAGAAACAGCUGGAUUCCCUGACAGUGUAGGAGAGAUUGGGCACUGAGCAGCUGCCCCAUUUGCUUGCUGUGCAUGAGAGUUAAUAAAAAUUUUCAUUGCUAGAGGAAAGCUUAUAUACAGUAGUCUGUUUGUCCCAUAUUUCAGCCACCUGAGUCACAGCCAAAGAAGCAAUUGUCUACUACAUAUUUCAAACAGAUGCUAAGGGUAGGAAGGGCGACUA